AGGCCUACACACUGAAGAGCACGAUAGCUCCACUAUUUCAUUCCUGCACCGCUUUACAGCUACCUGUGAUCAGGAUCUGUAGGAUGAGCUGCAGGACCAAUGUCUCACACACACACACACACACACACACACACACACACACACACACACACACACACACACACACACACACACACACACACAGGUCUGUUCACAUCUGCCGCUUUUGAAGCCAGUGAAAAGGGCGAGUUCGGUGAAUUGUCAGAUGCACAAACGCACGACCACAAGCUGUUUUGUUGCAUUUGAGCGGAAGCGAGUUGAAUGGAGGAGUUUUAUGAGUGAAAGGUGAAGUUGGGUGAAACAACACACACACACACACACACACACACACGCACACAAGCACAUGUGAAGGCAGGCAACUGCCUUUGAAGCAGCCUCAUCCAACUGUCCCAUGCAUGCUUGAGUGAUGUCAGCGCGACUAUGGCAAGACAGACAGACACACACACACACACACACACACACACACACACACACACACACACACACACACACACACACAUUCCAACUUUUGCUAUUUAGCUAUUUUGUCAAACAAACACAAACACACUGUUGCUGGAACAUAAAACACUGACGCGGACUUUACGUUCCUCUUUCUUACACACACACACACACACACACACACACACACACACACACACACACACACACACACACACACACACACACACACACACACUUGGCAGGAUGUGAGGGGAGAAAAAAGGGGCCGAAAGACAACACCGAGAUUAGGAGGCUUUUGUCACGGCUCUGUGGCAGACUUUAAAGUUCUUGGCUCCGUUCCCCGCUGCCAGAUUUCUUUCUUUUCUCACCCUGUCUGUCCACAUCCCUCUCUUUUCACGGGGUGGAAGGUAAACAUUUGGAACAGAAUGACAGAGAAAGGGAGCAGGGCUGGGAGGGACUGCGGGCUGGAAGAAGGAUGGAAGUCGCCUGUUGCCCCUUUUUAGCCUCUUUUUGUGUCUUUGUUUUCCCAGAUUUAAAGGCGGCUUUGUGGUUGUGAGGACGAGGAGCGUGGAGCGGGUGAGGUUCGCAAACAGAACAGCGCCUCAGUGCCGGCCAGGUGUUGGGUUGUUCCACAGUGUGAGUCCAGCGUGUGUCCACCACCACCAGACUUCAGGCACCGCUCCUUGCGACCAACGUCAGCUGAACCAACGUCAAUUCAUUCUCGGCAUCUUUCAAAGGCUGCAUCUGCAGCACAACACGGUCCCGGCCUGAAUUCCCUUUGAAGCGCGGCCGAACAAGCGGCCCUUGAGGAUCCGGCAGGUGAAGUGCUUCAUCUGCACUGCUGUCCCAGGCUCUGUGCUUCUGCAGAACACAGAAAGCGCAUCUGUUGAGACACAGCUUGGGUCUCUGCCAGCCUGAAUCAGAGCGGCAGAGACAGAGAAUGGGCCUUCACACCCUCUAACCGCACGCAACGCUUGUCCAUCCGUCAUCUCUCCGGACAGACGCGCUGACAGACGAAACAGCGGCUGCAGCUCUCAGUUCAAUGGCUCCGUCUAUUUAGAGCAGGACGUUCACUUAGAACCAGCCGCCGUGCGGCUGUGAGGAACUGAAACUGACGGCGCUGCGUUUGAACUCCUA
Molecule: long non-coding RNA, 1617 nt
Organism: Betta splendens (Siamese fighting fish)
Lineage: Eukaryota; Metazoa; Chordata; Actinopteri; Anabantiformes; Osphronemidae
Exons: 3
Source: RefSeq, a predicted model, not a curated record